This 116-nucleotide small nucleolar RNA is filed under the name Meriones unguiculatus (Mongolian gerbil). RNAcentral's name for it is "Small nucleolar RNA SNORA17 (ENSMUGG00000012445.1)". It matches the Rfam family "Small nucleolar RNA SNORA17". Rfam says of the family: snoRNA ACA 17 belongs to the H/ACA family of snoRNAs and is predicted to guide pseudouridylation of the 28S rRNA at positions U4659 and U4598. The record is from RNAcentral. Lineage: Eukaryota; Metazoa; Chordata; Mammalia; Rodentia; Muridae.
CCUACCCCUAGAGGCUGCUGAGUCACAUGUAUGUUAGUAGGUGGCAGAAAAGGAAGGGGCUAUCUAAGCUCAGUUCUCUGCCCUCUGAAAAUCUGAAUUAUUAGUAAUCUAACACU